Molecule: ribosomal RNA, 301 nt
Filed under: uncultured bacterium
Lineage: Bacteria
Description: partial 16S ribosomal RNA
Rfam family: Bacterial small subunit ribosomal RNA
Source: RNAcentral
CAGUCGCCGCGGUAAAACGUAGGUGGCGAGCGUUGUCCGGAAUCAUUGGGCGUAAAGGGAGCGCAGGCGGGCAUGUAAGUCUUUCUUAAAAGUGCGGGGCUCAACCCCGUGAUGGGAAAGAAACUACAUGUCUUGAGUACAGGAGAGGAAAGCGGAAUUCCCAGUGUAGCGGUGAAAUGCGUAGAUAUUGGGAGGAACACCAGUGGCGAAGGCGGCUUUCUGGACUGCAACUGACGCUGAGGCUCGAAAGCCAGGGGAGCGAACGGGAUUAGAUACCCCCGUAGUCCCUGUCUCUUAUACA